Molecule: transfer RNA, 64 nt
Filed under: Schlettererius cinctipes
Lineage: Eukaryota; Metazoa; Arthropoda; Insecta; Hymenoptera; Stephanidae
Description: tRNA-Thr
Source: RNAcentral
GUUAUAAUAGUUUAAGAAAAACAUUAAUUUUGUAAAUUAAUAUUAUAUAAUUUUAUUUAUAACA